GAGGUUCUAGUUAAAUAAUAACAAUGCCUUGUCAAGGCAUAAUCACGAGUUAAACCCUCGUGUACCUCU
Molecule: transfer RNA, 69 nt
Filed under: Kaloula indochinensis
Lineage: Eukaryota; Metazoa; Chordata; Amphibia; Anura; Microhylidae
Description: tRNA-Asp
Rfam family: tRNA
About the family: Transfer RNA (tRNA) molecules are approximately 80 nucleotides in length.
Source: RNAcentral